This is an RNA transcript of Eucalyptus grandis, 2331 nucleotides long. It is a transcript of the gene named protein PHOX1, with no coding region annotated. The record is from RefSeq and is a predicted model, not a curated record. Lineage: Eukaryota; Viridiplantae; Streptophyta; Magnoliopsida; Myrtales; Myrtaceae. The transcript is spliced from 4 exons.
AUGAGAAACUAUGUUGAACCUCCUAGCUCUUCAUCAUUGGAAAAACGAGUGAAAGAGAAAGCUCAGAAAAAGAAAGGUAGCCGAAUUGAGGGGAAGAAACCAAUCGAAGAACCUAAGGAGAUUGAGAAUGUUAAUAAAGUUGAGGAGAAUAAGGCUGAGCAGAUAUUUGAGAGCAAGGAUGAAGAAGGAGCUGAAGACAAGAAGCCAGAGAACAAGGCAGUAGUGGAGGAGAAAAUCGUGAGCAUACAGGACGAAGAGCCUAAGAAGACUGUAAAGUUGGUUUAUGGAGAGGACAUAAGAUGGGCUCAGUUGCCAGUUAAUCGUAGUCUCUUGCAGGUGAGAGAAGUGGUACGUGAUCGCUUCCCGAGCUCCAGAGCUGUUCUUGUAAAGUACAGAGACCAAGAAGGUGACUCGGUCACAAUUACUACUGAUGAAGAACUAAGGUGGGCUGAGGCAUCCACAGAACCACAGGGUUCUAUCAGACUGUACGUCGUCCCAGUGAAUCCUGACCAGGAUCCAUUUCACGCGAGACUUUCAGACAAGGAUGACGAUCAUGACAUUAUUAUCAAGAACAAUGGAAUUCAGGAGAAUGGGCACGUGUUCAAAGCCGAUGAAGCAGGAAAGAAGCCAACUUGCAUUGAUGACUGGAUAAUUAAUUUUGCUCCACUUUUCAAGAAUUAUGUUGGCUUAGAUUCUGAUGAAUACUUGGAUCUUCAUGAACUUGGUAUGAAGCUUUAUUCUGAAGCAAUGGAGGAAACUAUCACUAGCGAUGAGGCUCAAGGCAUUUUCACAAUAGCUGCCGAGAAGUUUCAAGAGAUGGCAGCUCUAGCUUUGUUCAACUGGGGUAAUGUCCACAUGUCAAGGGCAAGAAAAGGUGUGCACUUACCAGAGGAUGCUUCAGAGGAUUCCUUGCUCGAGCAGAUAAAAAUUGCAUAUGAUCGGGCAUUAAAAGAGUAUACAAGCGCAGGGAAGAGAUUUGAAUAAGCAUUGAAGAUUAAACCAGAUUUCUAUGAAGGAUAUCUAGCCCUAGGGCAGCAACAGUUUGAGCGGGCUAAACUUUCUUGGUAUUAUGCACUAGGCAGCAAAGCUGACUUGGAAACAUGGCCUUCUUCUGAGAUUCUCCAGCUCUAUAACUACGCUGAGGACAACAUGGAAAAAGGCAUGCAGAUGUGGGAAGAAUGGGAAGAGCAACGCCUGAAGGAUCUCUCAAAUCCAAAUACCAGUAAAGUUCAGUUGCAACAAUUAGGGUUGGAUGGAUCGUUCAAUGAAAUGACAGCAAAUGAAGCUGCUGAUCAGGCUGCAAACAUGAGAUCUCAGAUCAAUCUAUUAUGGGGUAGCAUGUUGUAUGAGUGUUCCAUCGUAGAAUUCAAAUUAGCAUUACCUGUCUGGCAUGAAUGUUUGGAAGUUGCGGUCGAGAAGUUUGAACUUGCUGGAGCUUCUCCAACGGAUAUAGCGGUUAUGGUAAAGAACCAUUGUUCAAACAAUGGUGCAAUAGAAGGUUUAGGAUUUAAAAUUGAUGAGAUUGUACAAGCAUGGAAUGAGAUGUAUGAAGCUAAAAAGUUACGGAGUGGUGUUCCGUCAUUCCGGGUGUUUUUGCUUGUGGUCCAUUCAUUGCCUUUCAUCCGUGGAAUGGUUGUGCCGGAGUUGGAGUUCGGGUUUUCAACCGUCAACGCAAUGACUUCCCACAUAUUUAUUGGGGAGAAGAAGCAGGGAUCUCCAUUUAGGAUACUUCCCUGCUCGCCAUUCUCUCGACCACUCUUUCUAAUAACUCUCUACUUCUUCUUCCGCCACCUCCGCUGCCGGCAAGCCCACAAGCUGCCGCCGGGUCCACAGCCGUUGCCCAUCAUCGGGAACCUCCACCAGCUGGGCAAUCUUCCCCACCGCCGCCUCCACAGUCUUGCCAAGUCCCACGGCCCCAUCAUGUUCCUCCGCCUCGGCAACAAGCCAACGGUGGUAGUCUCGUCGCCGGAGGCGGCCGAGUUGGUCCUUAGGACCUAUGACGGCAUCUUCUCAAGCCGCCCAAGCGUGGACGUUCUGCGCCACUUGUCUUACGGCAACAAGGGGAUGCUGGCGGAGAGCGGUACGUACUGGCGGGGCGUGAGGAAGCUGUGCACACUGCAGCUGCUGAGCCCAGCGAAGGUGGAGUCUUUUGCACCGAUGAGGAGGGAGGAGCUGGGAAGGGUGGUCAGGAGGGUGAGGGCAGCGGCGGCAGUAUGUGAGGCGGUGGACGUGAGGGCGGAGUUGGGGCAGCUGACUGGGGACUUGGCAUGCCGGAUGAUAUUGGGGUAUAGCACGAGGGAUAAGUUCAACUUGAAGCCUGGGAUUAGCUAG